This is a non-coding RNA of Chlorocebus sabaeus (green monkey), 557 nucleotides long. The record is from the annotation of a RefSeq genome assembly. Lineage: Eukaryota; Metazoa; Chordata; Mammalia; Primates; Cercopithecidae.
UGGGACAGGAGGCCCAGACCUGGGAUUUUCAGGUGUUUUCAUUUGGUGAUCAGGACGGACCACAGAGGACGCACCAUGGAGUUUGGACUAAGCUGGGUUUUUCUUGUUGCUAUUUUAAAAGGUGUCCAGUGUGAGGUGCAGCUGGUGGAGUCUGGGGGAGGCUUGGUACAGCCUGGGGGGUCCCUGAGACUCUCCUGUGCAGCCUCUGGAUUCACCUUCAGUGACUACUACAUGGACUGGGUCCGCCAGGCUCCAGGGAAGGGUCUGGAGUGGGUCUCACGUAUUAGCAGUGGUAGUGGUAGUAGCACAUACUACCCAGACUCUGUCAAGGGCCGAUUCACCAUCUCCAGAGACAAUUCCAAGAACACGCUGUAUCUGCAAAUGAACAGCCUGAGAGCCGAGGACACGGCUGUGUAUUACUGUGCGAGAGACACAGUGAGGGGAAGUCAGUGUGAGCCCAGACACAAACCUCCCUGCAGGGACGUUCAGGGGAAAUCAGCGGCAGGGGGCGCUCGGGACCCACUGAUCAGAGUCAACCCCAGAGGCAGGUGCUAUAG